Molecule: ribosomal RNA, 466 nt
Filed under: uncultured bacterium
Lineage: Bacteria
Description: bacterial SSU rRNA
Rfam family: Bacterial small subunit ribosomal RNA
Source: RNAcentral
CCCAGACUCCUACGGGAGGCAGCAGUGAGGAAUAUUGGUCAAUGGGCGAGAGCCUGAACCAGCCAAGUCGCGUGAGGGAAGACGGUCCUAUGGAUUGUAAACCUCUUUUGCCGGGGAGCAAAAAGCGGUACGUGUACCGCAUCGAGAGUACCCGGAGAAAAAGCAUCGGCUAACUCCGUGCCAGCAGCCGCGGUAAUACGGAGGAUGCGAGCGUUAUCCGGAUUUAUUGGGUUUAAAGGGUGCGCAGGCGGGGAGUUAAGUCAGGGGUAAAAUUUCGGGGCUCAACCCCGACAAGCCGUUGAAACUGGCCUGCUAGAGUGGGCGAGAAGUAUGCGGAAUGCGUGGUGUAGCGGUGAAAUGCAUAGAUAUCACGCAGAACUCCGAUUGCGAAGGCAGCGUACCGGCGCCCAACUGACGCUGAAGCACGAAGGCGUGGGUAUCGAACAGGAUUAGAUACCCCCGUAAG